AAGCAUCUGUGAGAGAUACCGCGCUGUCCGUCUCCCAGGAAGGAAGUUCGUAUCUCUUGUGCGUGUUCUAAUUUUAAAAUUAACACAGGACUCCAAAAAUUCAACUGAGAAAUGGGAAUGAUCUUCCAGGUCCAAUGAUAUUAGUGUCUGGACCAAAGUCACAGCUACUGGCUUCCUGAAGACAGUGAUAUACAGACUGGGUCUCCACCAUGUGCAUGAGCUAGGAAAGGGCAGAAGAAAGAACUGGAGGAGAAUUGGUCCCGAUAGAAGGGAAGAGAUGUGAGAAGGAUAGAAGAAAUUGUGACUGGGGCAGGCCCACUGACCUCCAGUGGAGCCACGGGCAGAGCACCCAAGACUGACUGAGCCCUGCUGUGUCCGGCUGGCUACACCUCCUUGAGACCAAGAGCUGAUAAGGAUCCCCCAGGCAGGCCCACCAGCCGCCUGUGGAGUUGCGUGGGCACCUACAACAACAGACCCCCCCCCAACCGCCUCUGGCC
Long non-coding RNA from Heterocephalus glaber (naked mole-rat), 497 nucleotides. RefSeq lists it as uncharacterized. The record is from RefSeq and is a predicted model, not a curated record. NCBI's taxonomy places the organism in Eukaryota, Metazoa, Chordata, Mammalia, Rodentia, Bathyergidae.